UUUUGAAAACACCUGCAAAUAAAUAAUUUUACAUGAACAAUGGCACCAAACAUAAUAAGGAAUAAAUAUGAAAUUUUAAAUAAAUACCACCACCUGUCAGAAUGGGCGGCGCCCCGACACCAGGAGUGGGUGGACCCACAAUACAAACUCCCAAACCAGGCCUUGUGGUACAAGUAGUCUUAGAGUUUAUUUUAGGCAGACGUUCGGUACACAAGUUGUCAGAAAACAGAGCAGAGGUACAAGCAGGGUGAGGCAAAAACGCAGUCAUCGCCAGGCAGGGGUCUGAGGCACAAGCAUAUGGGCUGAGGCAAAAAGGCACGGUCAAGAAACACAGAGCAAAGAACUGGUAUACGGCAAGACUAAUCAGGACUGAGACCAAGAAGGCUGGAGAGUGUGCUGGAAGCGACAACAAUCUGGCGAGGGACUGUGAGGGUUUUUAUCUGAGAUAGGAAGAG
Molecule: long non-coding RNA, 455 nt
Organism: Thalassophryne amazonica
Lineage: Eukaryota; Metazoa; Chordata; Actinopteri; Batrachoidiformes; Batrachoididae
Exons: 3
Source: RefSeq, a predicted model, not a curated record